AGAAAGGUAAGCUAAGUCUAAGCUCAUAGGUUCAUACCCUAUUUAUGGAAUGCCCCCUCUUUCUA
Molecule: transfer RNA, 65 nt
Filed under: Epeorus sp. XL-2019
Lineage: Eukaryota; Metazoa; Arthropoda; Insecta; Ephemeroptera; Heptageniidae
Description: tRNA-Met
Source: RNAcentral